RNAcentral lists this ribosomal RNA (253 nucleotides) under uncultured bacterium. RNAcentral's name for it is "partial 16S ribosomal RNA". It matches the Rfam family "Bacterial small subunit ribosomal RNA", at positions 524 to 776 of the family's 1533-position model. The record is from RNAcentral.
UACGUAGGGACCAAGCGUUGUCCGGAAUCAUUGGGCGUAAAGCGCGCGUAGGUGGCCAUUUAAGUCCGCUGUGAAAGUCAGAGGCUCAACCUUUGAAAGCCGGUGGAUACUGGAUGGCUAGAGUACGGAAGAGGCGAGUGGAAUUCCUGGUGUAGCGGUGGAAUGCGCAGAUAUCAGGAGGAACACCAAUAGCGAAGGCAGCGCGCUGGGACGUUACUGACGCUAAGGCGCGAAAGCGUGGGGAGCGAACAGG